UACGAAGGGGGCUAGCGUUGUUCGGAAUCACUGGGCUUAAAGGGUGCGCAGGCGGAUUUUUAAGUCAGGGGUGAAAUCCCGAGGCUCAACCUCGGAACUGCCUUUGAUACUGGGGAUCUUGAGUCUGGAAGAGGUGACUGGAACUGCGCGUGUAGAGGUGAAAUUCGUAGAUAUUCGCAAGAACACCGGUGGCGAAGGCGGCUCACUGAUCCGGAACUGACGCUGAGGCACGAAAGCGUGGGGAGCAAACAGG
RNAcentral lists this ribosomal RNA (253 nucleotides) under uncultured bacterium. Its description in RNAcentral is "partial 16S ribosomal RNA". It matches the Rfam family "Bacterial small subunit ribosomal RNA", at positions 524 to 776 of the family's 1533-position model. The record is from RNAcentral.